CGAUAACAUGAUUUGUAUACUCGUUUUUCGCAAAACAAGCAAUGCGCUGAGCAUAGCACAUAAUCACAAUUGAUUUUUCGUGGCCAUCAUGGUGAUCUGACUGUAGAAGAAUGCCAGAUUCUACUUGCAGAGUUUUCACUCCGCCAUAGCAAGAGUUCGAUCAGUAUUGUGGAGGAUUAUGCAACGCGUAAAGCAGCAACAUUGACCUAACAGCAACAACAGGAAGCCAAACUUCUGAUUGUGUGCUUGGCUGCUUGUUUGCCCUCGACAAGGAGACAAACCAGAUACUAGAUUCGAUCAGUAUUGUGGAGGAUUAUGCAACGCGUAAAGCAGCAACAUUGACCUAACAGCAACAACAGGAAGCCAAACUUCUGAUUGUGUGCUUGGCUGCUUGUUUGCCCUCGACAAGGAGACAAACCAGAUACUAGAUUGUUCUGAUUGAUUCCACAAAGUAGCUUAAGCUGAAACAUGGUGUGCAAGGCUCGCAGAUUACAAUGGGGACCUUACCAACCACCCGCUUGUUUAAGAGUAUAGAUUAUUUCCUUAACCAAUGUACUUAGAAACGGGGAAUGAUUCCAUCCAAAUUGUAAUGGUAUUUUCUUUAUGUGGAUUUUUCCGGGCAUUACCAUGUCUAAUGUAUUAUUUGGAUGAGAGUAGAAAAUGAAAAGUUAAUUUUUUUUA
This is a long non-coding RNA of Vigna angularis (adzuki bean), 681 nucleotides long. RefSeq lists it as uncharacterized. The transcript has 2 exons. Lineage: Eukaryota; Viridiplantae; Streptophyta; Magnoliopsida; Fabales; Fabaceae. The record is from RefSeq and is a predicted model, not a curated record.